Non-coding RNA from Roridomyces roridus, 71 nucleotides. The record is from the annotation of a GenBank genome assembly. NCBI's taxonomy places the organism in Eukaryota, Fungi, Basidiomycota, Agaricomycetes, Agaricales, Mycenaceae.
GGCGAUGUAGGAUAGUGGUCAUUACGCAAGGUAUUAACCGGAGGCCCCGGUUCGAUUCCGGGCAUCUGCCC